This 891-nucleotide ribosomal RNA is filed under the name Annulatascus velatisporus. RNAcentral's name for it is "LSU rRNA". It matches the Rfam family "Eukaryotic large subunit ribosomal RNA", at positions 65 to 969 of the family's 3401-position model. Lineage: Eukaryota; Fungi; Ascomycota; Sordariomycetes; Annulatascales; Annulatascaceae. The record is from RNAcentral.
CCAACAGGGAUUGCCCUAGUAACGGCGAGUGAAGCGGCAACAGCUCAAAUUUGAAAUCUGGCGGCCCCCGCGGCGGCCCGAGUUGUAAUUUGUAGAGGAUGCUUUUGGCGAGGUGCCUUCCGAGUUCCCUGGAACGGGACGCCAUAGAGGGUGAGAGCCCCGUACGGCUGGACGCCGAGCCUCUGUAAAGCUCCUUCGACGAGUCGAGUAGUUUGGGAAUGCUGCUCAAAAUGGGAGGUAAAUGCCUUCUAAAGCUAAAUACCGGCCAGAGACCGAUAGCGCACAAGUAGAGUGAUCGAAAGAUGAAAAGCACUUUGAAAAGAGGGUUAAAUAGUACGUGAAAUUGUUGAAAGGGAAGCGCUCGUGACCAGACUCGGGCCCUGUGGAUCAUCCAGCGUUCUCGCUGGUGCACUCCGCUCGGCCCGGGCCAGCAUCGAUUUCCCCAGGGGGAUUAAAGCCUCGGGAACGUAGCUCCUCCGGGAGUGUUAUAGCCCCUGGCAGAAAGCCCCUGGGGGGAUCGAGGACCGCGCUCCGGCAAGGAUGCUGGCCUAAUGGUCAUCAGCGACCCGUCUUGAAACACGGACCAAGGAGUCAAGCAGUAGGGCGAGUGUUUGGGUGUCAACCGACGCGAAAUGAAAGUGAACGCAGGUGAGAGCUUCGGCGCAUCAUCGACCGAUCCUGAUGUAUUCGGAUGGAUUUGAGUAAGAGCCUUGCCGUUGGACCGAAGUGGAACUAUUGCCUGGAUAAGGGUGAAGCCAGAGGGAAACUCUGGGUGGACGCUUCCGCAAGCGGUUUCUGACGGUGCAAAAUCGGUUCCGUCAAAUUCUGGGGCAUUGGGGGGCGAAAGACUAAUUCGGACCCUUCUUAGUAGCUUGGGUACCCCCGGAGGUU